GAUAGAGAGAGCAGCUUAUUCUGUAUGCUUGAAUAUAUGGUUAUAUGCAUGCAAGCAAGUAUGCUACAUAGGAAUUAGGAUUAAAGCCAAAUGGAUGAAAUGGAUAAGCGUGAAAGUAAUCCUAUAUGACCACAAAAUUAUCAGCUAAGUUGACGGGGAAGUUUUAGGAAUUAUAAUAUAUGGUUGCUGUUAGGCUGGGAAAAAAC
RNAcentral lists this unclassified non-coding RNA (206 nucleotides) under Hevea brasiliensis (rubber tree). The record is from RNAcentral. Lineage: Eukaryota; Viridiplantae; Streptophyta; Magnoliopsida; Malpighiales; Euphorbiaceae.